Molecule: non-coding RNA, 222 nt
Filed under: Streptomyces lincolnensis
Lineage: Bacteria; Bacillati; Actinomycetota; Actinomycetes; Kitasatosporales; Streptomycetaceae
Source: RNAcentral
UAAGCUGGCGGCGCAGCUGGUUCGCCCUGUCCCCCAGGCAGGCGCGUCGCAAGAGGGAACCCGGUGGGAAUCCGGGACUGCCCCGCAGCGGUGAACGGGAACGACCGCCGUCAUACGCACUGGAUCCGGCAAGCGGAUCCGGGAAGCGACGGCCAGUAGGUGCCUCGUGGGACACGAGGCGGGCCCGUGAGUCCGAAGACCUGCCACUGCCCGUGUACGACC